CCUACGGGAGGCAGCAGUGAGGAAUAUUGGACAAUGGGCGCAAGCCUGAUCCAGCCAUGCCGCGUGCAGGAUGACGGUCCUAUGGAUUGUAAACUGCUUUUAUACGAGAAGAAACACUCCAACGUGUUGGAGCUUGACGGUAUCGUAAGAAUAAGGAUCGGCUAACUCCGUGCCAGCAGCCGCGGUAAUACGGAGGAUCCAAGCGUUAUCCGGAAUCGUUGGGUUUAAAGGGUCCGUAGGCGGUUUGGUAAGUCAGUGGUGAAAGCCCAUCGCUCAACGGUGGAACGGCCAUUGAUACUGCCAGACUUGAAUUAUUAGGAAGUAACUAGAAUAUGUAGUGUAGCGGUGAAAUGCUUAGAGAUUACAUGGAAUACCAAUUGCGAAGGCAGGUUACUACUAAUGGAUUGACGCUGAUGGACGAAAGCGUGGGUAGCGAACAGGAUUAGAUACCCUGGUAGUCCACGCCGUAAACGAUGGAUACUAGCUGUUGGGAGUAAUCUCAGUGGCUAAGCGAAAGUGAUAAGUAUCCCACCUGGGGAGUACGUUCGCAAGAAUGAAACUCAAAUGAAUUGACGG
RNAcentral lists this ribosomal RNA (576 nucleotides) under uncultured bacterium. RNAcentral's name for it is "bacterial SSU rRNA". It matches the Rfam family "Bacterial small subunit ribosomal RNA", at positions 338 to 916 of the family's 1533-position model. The record is from RNAcentral.